UACGGAGGGUGCGAGCGUUGUCCGGAAUUACUGGGCGUAAAGAGCUCGUAGGCGGUCUGUCACGUCGGCUGUGAAAACCCGGGGCUCAACCCCGGGCCUGCAGUCGAUACGGGCAGACUAGAGUGCGGUAGGGGAGACUGGAAUUCCUGGUGUAGCGGUGGAAUGCGUAGAUAUCGGGAGGAACACCAGUGGCGAAGGCGGUUGCCUGGGGCUUUGCUGACGCUGAUGCGCGAAAGCGUGGGGAGCGAUCAGG
Molecule: ribosomal RNA, 253 nt
Filed under: uncultured bacterium
Lineage: Bacteria
Description: partial 16S ribosomal RNA
Rfam family: Bacterial small subunit ribosomal RNA
Source: RNAcentral